RNAcentral lists this ribosomal RNA (253 nucleotides) under uncultured bacterium. RNAcentral describes it as "partial 16S ribosomal RNA". It matches the Rfam family "Bacterial small subunit ribosomal RNA", at positions 524 to 776 of the family's 1533-position model. The record is from RNAcentral.
UCCGUAGGUGACCAGCGUUGUCCGGAUUUACUGGGCGUAAAGAGCGCGCAGGCGGUCGUUCAAGUCGAGUGUGAAAGCCCACGGCUCAACCGUGGAGGGUCAUUGGAAACUGGGGAACUUGAGUGCAGAAGAGAAAAGCGGAAUUCCACGUGUAGCGGUGAAAUGCGUAGAGAUGUGGAGGAACACCAGUGGCGAAGGCGGCUUUUUGGUCUGUAACUGACGCUGAGGCGCGAAAGCGUGGGGAGCAAACAGG